RNAcentral lists this ribosomal RNA (604 nucleotides) under Lactobacillus sp.B A53. RNAcentral describes it as "partial 16S ribosomal RNA". It matches the Rfam family "Bacterial small subunit ribosomal RNA", at positions 339 to 934 of the family's 1533-position model. Lineage: Bacteria; Bacillati; Bacillota; Bacilli; Lactobacillales; Lactobacillaceae. The record is from RNAcentral.
AUACGGNAGGCAGCAGUAGGGAAUCUUCCACAAUGGACNCAAGUCUGAUGGAGCAACNCCGCGUGAGUGAANAAGGUUUUCGGAUCGUAAAGCUCUGUUGUUGGUGAANAAGGACAUGGAUAGUAACUGAUCUAUGUUUGACGGUAAUCAACCAGAAAGUCACGGCUAACUACGUGCCAGCAGCCGCGGUAAUACGUAGGUGGCAAGCGUUGUCCGGAUUUAUUGGGCGUAAAGCGAACGCAGGCGGGAGAACAAGUCANCUGUGAAAGCCCUCGGCUUAACCGAGGAACGGCAACUGAAACUGUUUUUCUUGAGUGCANAAGAGGAGAGUGGAACUCCAUGUGUAGCGGUGAAAUGCGUAGAUAUAUGGAAGANCACCAGUGNCGANGGCGGCUCUCUGGUCUGUAACUGACGCUGAGGUUCCAAAGCAUGGGUAGCGAACAGGAUUANAUACCCUGGUAGUCCAUGCCGUAAACGAUGAGUGCUAAGUGUUGGGAGGUUUCCGCCUCUCACUGCUGCAGCUAACGCAUUAANCACUCNGCCUGGGGAGUACGACCGCAAGGNUNAAACUCNAAGGAAUUGACGGGGGCCNNCACAGCCNGUG